CUGUAAGAAAAGUUCUUAAGUCUCUGAAUACAGCCAUAAUUACAUCAUGGAAGAUAAUGUUUUAUAAGUGUGCAUGUUCUGUUUAGUUCGUGGGUGUCCACUCUUUGACAUCCAGCUGCUUUUAGACUAUGUUACAUAAGAUUUUUAACCACCCCAUUCCUGGCAGAGAAUGAUGGAAUCUGUGGUUCCAGGGUUGGACAUAUUAAUGAAGAAGAACCUACAAUAACUCCCAGCCAGAUGAAGAAGUUGUCUAAUAAAGGUUUUUCAAACAUUAAUUUAUUUUAUUUUGUUUUCCCCCUUCACCCAAAUCUUCCUAAAAUGCUGUGGGCUGAAUCCAGUUUAAUUAAUAUAUAUUAUCUAG
Non-coding RNA from Pelobates cultripes (western spadefoot toad), 361 nucleotides. The record is from the annotation of a GenBank genome assembly. NCBI's taxonomy places the organism in Eukaryota, Metazoa, Chordata, Amphibia, Anura, Pelobatidae.